Molecule: ribosomal RNA, 497 nt
Filed under: uncultured bacterium
Lineage: Bacteria
Description: partial 16S ribosomal RNA
Rfam family: Bacterial small subunit ribosomal RNA
Source: RNAcentral
GAUGAACGCUGGCGGCGUGCCUAAUACAUGCAAGUCGAGCGAACGGACGAGAAGCUUGCUUCUCUGAUGUUAGCGGCGGACGGGUGAGUAACACGUGGAUAACCUACCUAUAAGACUGGGAUAACUUCGGGAAACCGGAGCUAAUACCGGAUAAUAUUUUGAACCGCAUGGUUCAAGAGUGAAAGACGGUCUUGCUGUCACUUAUAGAUGGAUCCGCGCUGCAUUAGCUAGUUGGUAAGGUAACGGCUUACCAAGGCAACGAUGCAUAGCCGACCUGAGAGGGUGAUCGGCCAAACUGGAACUGAGACACGAUCAAGACUCCUACGGAAGGAAGAAGUAGGGAAUCUUCCGCAAUGGGCGAAAGCCUGACGGAGAAACGCCGCGUGAGUGAUGAAGGUCUUCGGAUCGUAAAACUCUGUUAUUAGGGAAGAACAUAUGUGUAAGUAACUGUGCACAUAUUGACGGUACCUAAUCAGAAAGCCACGGCUAACUACGUG